CCAGACAGCCAGGAUGUUGGCUUAGAAGCAGCCAUCAUUUAAAGAAAGCGUAAUAGCUCACUGGUCGAGUCGGCCUGCGCGGAAGAUGUAACGGGGCUAAACCAUGCACCGAAGCUGCGGCAGCGACACUAUGUGUUGUUGGGUAGGGGAGCGUUCUGUAAGCCUGCGAAGGUGUGCUGUGAGGCAUGCUGGAGGUAUCAGAAGUGCGAAUGCUGACAUAAGUAACGAUAAAGCGGGUGAAAAGCCCGCUCGCCGGAAGACCAAGGGUUCCUGUCCAACGUUAAUCGGGGCAGGGUGAGUCGACCCCUAAGGCGAGGCCGAAAGGCGUAGUCGAUGGGAAACAGGUUAAUAUUCCUGUACUUGGUGUUACUGCGAAGGGGGGACGGAGAAGGCUAUGUCGGCCGGGCGACGGUUGUCCCGGUUUAAGCGUGUAGGCUGACUUUCCAGGCAAAUCCGGAAGGUUAAGGCUGAGGCGUGAUGACGAGGCACCACGGUGCUGAAGUGACAAAUGCCCUGCUUCCAGGAAAAGCCUCUAAGCAUCAGGUAACAUCAAAUCGUACCCCAAACCGACACAGGUGGUCAGGUAG
Molecule: ribosomal RNA, 587 nt
Filed under: Cronobacter sakazakii
Lineage: Bacteria; Pseudomonadati; Pseudomonadota; Gammaproteobacteria; Enterobacterales; Enterobacteriaceae
Description: partial 23S ribosomal RNA
Rfam family: Bacterial large subunit ribosomal RNA
Source: RNAcentral